Mauremys reevesii (Reeves's turtle) is the source of this 291-nucleotide long non-coding RNA. RefSeq lists it as uncharacterized. The transcript has 3 exons. The record is from RefSeq and is a predicted model, not a curated record. NCBI's taxonomy places the organism in Eukaryota, Metazoa, Chordata, Testudines, Geoemydidae.
GUCGAUUUUGAUACAGAGCAAUGAGGAGCCAGAGAUAGGGAUGAGAAAAGGAGCUCUAUCCAUCAGGAUGUAAUUGAAUGCGAGUUAGAGAGAUCAUCUCAUUUGAGGGUUUAGACCGUAAGAUUUUUGAGGCGCCAACUUUCUCUUGCCAUGUCAGCUCCAUGUUAAGUGGCAGGAGAAAAUCAGCAAUGAGGAUACUUGUGGACGAACCCACCAACCAACUCCAUCAGCACUAGUUUGGUUUUGGUGGUUUUCUUGGUAUGGACAUAUUAUUAGGCUGGAAGACUAACG